RNAcentral lists this transfer RNA (75 nucleotides) under Parcubacteria group bacterium CG11_big_fil_rev_8_21_14_0_20_39_22. RNAcentral describes it as "tRNA-His". It matches the Rfam family "tRNA". From Rfam's summary of the family: Transfer RNA (tRNA) molecules are approximately 80 nucleotides in length. The record is from RNAcentral.
GUGCCUAUGGUAUAACGGUUAUUACGGAGGUUUGUGGAACCUCAAAUUCGGGUUCGAUUCCCGGUAGGCACCCCA